This 836-nucleotide ribosomal RNA is filed under the name uncultured archaeon. RNAcentral's name for it is "bacterial SSU rRNA". It matches the Rfam family "Archaeal small subunit ribosomal RNA", at positions 53 to 894 of the family's 1478-position model. The record is from RNAcentral.
GCGAGUCGAAUGUAGCAAUACAUGGCGUACUGCUCAGUAACACGUGGAUAACCUGCCCUUGAGACGGGGAUAAACCCGGGAAACUGGGUAUAAUACCCGAUAGAUCUCGGCUGCUGGAAUGCACCGAGUUCUAAAGCUCCGGCGCUCAAGGAUGGAUCUGCGGCCUAUCAGGUAGUAGUGGGUGUAGCGUACCUACUAGCCUACGACGGGUACGGGUUGUGAGAGCAAGAGCCCGGAGAUGGAUUCUGAGACACGAAUCCAGGCCCUACGGGGUGCAGCAGGCGCGAAAACUUUACAAUGCUGGAAACAGCGAUAAGGGGACCUCGAGUGCCAGGUUACAAAUCUGGCUGUCGUGAUGCCUAAAAAGCAUUGCAUAGCAAGGGCCGGGCAAGACCGGUGCCAGCCGCCGCGGUAACACCGGCGGCUCGAGUGGUAACCGUUAUUAUUGGGUCUAAAGGGUCUGUAGCCGGCCGGAUAAGUCUCUUGGGAAAUCUGGCAGCUUAACUGUCAGGCUUUCAGGAGAUACUGUCUGGCUCGAGGCCGGGAGAGGUGAGAGGUACUUCAGGGGUAGGGGUGAAAUCUUGUAAUCCUUGAAGGACCACCAGUGGCGAAGGCGUCUCACCAGAACGGACCUGACGGCAAGGGACGAAAGCUAGGGGCACGAACCGGAUUAGAUACCCGGGUAGUCCUAGCCGUAAACGAUACUCGCUAGGUGUCGGCCACGGUGCGACCGUUGUCGGUGCCGUAGGGAAGCCGUGAAGCGAGCCACCUGGGAAGUACGGCCGCAAGGCUGAAACUUAAAGGAAUUGGCGGGGGAGCACCACAACGGGUGGAGC